UUUCCGUAGGUGAACCUGCGGAAGGAUCAUUAUCAUGUAAUUCAGUCCCCUUGCCUGUGUUAUAUAUAUACCCACUCUGUGUACCUUCUCCUGUUGCUUCCGCUGGGUGUGUAAUUCGCCCGGCGGAAGGGUAAAAAUAACCUCUGAGUAUUGAUGAAAUCUCUGUCUGAACCGAAUAGAAAGAAAAAUGUUAAAACUUUCAGCAACGGAUCUCUUGGUUCUC
Molecule: unclassified non-coding RNA, 223 nt
Filed under: plant metagenome
Description: partial contains small subunit ribosomal RNA, internal transcribed spacer 1, and 5.8S ribosomal RNA
Source: RNAcentral